GGCAAGCCUUUGGUCCCCGCACACAUGGGUUCCACACGCAGGCAAGCCUUUGGUCGCCGCACACACGGGUUCCACAGGCAGGCAAGCCUUUGGUCCCCCGCACACAUGGGUUCCACAGGCAGGCAAGCCUUUGGUCCCCCGCACACACGGGUUCCACAGGCAGGCAAGCCUUUGGUCCCCUGCACACACGGGUUCCACAGGCAGGCAAGCCUUUGGUCCCCACACACACGGGUUCCACAGGCAGGCAAGCCUUUGGUCCCCGCACACACGGGUUCCACAGGCAGGCAAGCCUUUGGUCCCUCGCACACACGGGUUCCACAUGCAGGCAAGC
Acomys russatus (golden spiny mouse) is the source of this 331-nucleotide long non-coding RNA. RefSeq lists it as uncharacterized. The transcript has 3 exons. NCBI's taxonomy places the organism in Eukaryota, Metazoa, Chordata, Mammalia, Rodentia, Muridae. The record is from RefSeq and is a predicted model, not a curated record.